UAGGGAAUCUCCCACAAUGGACGCAAGUCUGAUGGAGCAACGCCGCGUGAGUGAAGAAGGUUUUCGGACCGUAAAGCUCUGUUGUUGGUGAAGAAGGAUAGAGGUAGUAACUGGCCUUUAUUUGACGGUAAUCAACCAGAAAGUCACGGCUAACUACGUGCCAGCAGCCGCGGUAAUCGUAGGUGGCAAGCGUUGUCCGGAUUUAUUGGGCGUAAAGCGAGCGCAGGCGGAAGAAUAAGUCUGAUGUGAAAGCCCUCGGCUUAACCGAGGAAUUGCAUCGGAAACUGUUUUUCUUGAGUGCAGAAGAGGAGAGUAGAACUCCAUGUGUAGCGGUGGAAUGCGUAGAUAUAUGGAAGAAUACCAGUGGCGAAGGCGGCUCUCUGGUCUGCAACUGACGCUGAGGCUCGAAAGCAUGGGUAGCGAACAGGAUUAGAUACCCUGGUAGUCCAUGCCGUAAACGAUGAGUGCUAAGUGUUGGGAGGCUUCCGCCUCUCAGUGCUGCAGCUAACGCAUUAAGCACUCCGCCUGGGGGAGUACGACCGCAAGGUUGAAAC
Molecule: ribosomal RNA, 554 nt
Filed under: uncultured bacterium
Lineage: Bacteria
Description: partial 16S ribosomal RNA
Rfam family: Bacterial small subunit ribosomal RNA
Source: RNAcentral